Molecule: ribosomal RNA, 253 nt
Filed under: uncultured bacterium
Lineage: Bacteria
Description: partial 16S ribosomal RNA
Rfam family: Bacterial small subunit ribosomal RNA
Source: RNAcentral
UACAGAGGUCUCAAGCGUUGUUCGGAAUUACUGGGCGUAAAGCGCACGUAGGCGGAUUUGUAAGUCAGGGGUGAAAUCCUGGAGCUCAACUCCAGAACUGCCUUUGAUACUGGGGAUCUCGAGUCCGGGAGAGGUGAGUGGAACUCCGAGUGUAGAGGUGAAAUUCGUAGAUAUUCGGAAGAACACCAGUGGCGAAGGCGGCUCACUGGCCCGGUACUGACGCUGAGGUGCGAAAGCGUGGGGAGCAAACAGG